Molecule: ribosomal RNA, 506 nt
Filed under: uncultured bacterium
Lineage: Bacteria
Description: partial 16S ribosomal RNA
Rfam family: Bacterial small subunit ribosomal RNA
Source: RNAcentral
AGUGAACGCUGGCGGUAGGCCUAACACAUGCAAGUCGAACGGCAGCACAGAGGAGCUUGCUCCUUGGGUGGCGAGCGGCGGACGGGUGAGGAAUACAUCGGAAUCUACUCUGUCGUGGGGGAUAACGUAGGGAAACUUACGCUAAUACCGCAUACGACCUACGGGUGAAAGCAGGGGACCUUCGGGCCUUGCGCGAUUGAAUGAGCCGAUGUCGGAUUAGCUAGUUGGCGGGGUAAAGGCCCACCAAGGCGACGAUCCGUAGCUGGUCUGAGAGGAUGAUCAGCCACACUGGAACUGAGACACGGUCCAGACUCCUACGGGAGGCAGCAGUGGGGAAUAUUGGACAAUGGGCGCAAGCCUGAUCCAGCCAUACCGCGUGGGUGAAGAAGGCCUUCGGGUUGUAAAGCCCCUUUGUUGGGAAAGAAAUCCAGCUGGCUAAUACCCGGUUGGGAUGACGGUACCCAAAGAAUAAGCACCGGCUAACUUCGUGCCAGCCGCCGCGGUAA